Molecule: long non-coding RNA, 2433 nt
Organism: Pan troglodytes (chimpanzee)
Lineage: Eukaryota; Metazoa; Chordata; Mammalia; Primates; Hominidae
Exons: 4
Source: RefSeq, a predicted model, not a curated record
CCCAAAUUCAGUCCAUAAAAGCACGGUUAGGAGCAAACAGCUUUUCAAUUUCCCUGUGUCCUUUCCUAUGGCUGUGGUUGGAGAGACGUAGAGAGAGGCUGCUGUGAAGUCACAAUCCAGCCACACGGCAUUGAUCCUGUCAUGGCUGGUGUGGUUGUGCCCACACGUGACCUGAACAUCCUUCCCACUCAGUACCAAAUACAGUCAAUUCUGUGGCUUGAUGGUGCGUGGACAUAACAUUCAGAUAUUGCCCAUGGUUGACAACUUCUUUCCUCUGCCUAUGUUGCCAUCCAUGUCAUGGUUUGUGUCAAGACUCUAGGAGAAGUCUACCAUCAGCACCACAGCUACUGUGCACAAAUCCAGAAUGCCAGACUGAAGUCAGAAGGAAAGUUUCAGUUACCUGUGGUCAACCAUGGUCUGAAAAUAUUAAACGGAAAUUCAAGAAAUAAACAACUCAUUAGUUUAAACUGUGUGCCAUUCUGAGUUGCCUGAUGAACUCUCUUGCCGUCCUGCUCCAUCCCUUCUUCAUCACAAAAAGAAAAAGGGUCUUCAGGGGCUAGAACACCCAUGGAGCUGUCGUCUCCUGUGGUAACAGUGCCGUCUUCUAGAAUGCCUCCUAGAUGACCUGCCUGAGGCUGUUUACAGGUAACUUUUAAAACCAUAAGUAGAUAGAGUACACUCUAAAAUAACAAUUAAAAGGAUAGUAUAGUAAAUGCAUAAUCUAAAAUAACAAUUAAAAGGAUAGUAUAGUAAAUGCAUAAUCUAAAAUAACAAUUAAAAGGAUAGUAUAGUAAAUGCAUAAACUAAUAACAUAGUUUUGAUUGACAUUGUCACGUAUUAUGUACUGUACAUAGUUGUAUGCACUAUACUUUUACAUGACCAGCAGCUCAGUAGGUUUGUUUACAGAAGCUUCGCCACAAACGUGUGAGUAAUGCCUACAGCGGUACGACAGCUAUGAUGUCGCUAGGUGAUAGGAAUUUUUCAGCUCCAUUAUAAUCUUGUAAGACCACCAUCAUAUAUGCAGUCCGUCAUUGACCAAAACAUCAUUAUUAUCUCUAUUAUCCCCAUUUUACAGAUGAGGAAACUGAGGCAUAGAGAGUUCAGGAAACUUCCCAAUGUUAUACAGUGUGUGACAAAGCCCAGAUUUCAACUCCAGUAUUUCUGGCUCCAAAAUCUACCUCUUAAUCACUCACAGAGGCUACACCAUUUGGCACCAGAGACCUGGAUUCUCAUCCUAGGCUCUGCAUUCGCUCACUGGGAGACUUGAAGUCCUUCUCUGAGUCUCUGGUACCCUCAGCUUCCUCCUCCAUGAAAAUGCUUCAUACCUUGUCUAUCUUAAGGUGUCACUGUGUGGAUGGAAUGACACUGGGCACAGAAAGCAUGAGUUACACUGCCUGGCACAGAGCAGAUGAUGCCCAUAAAAGCUGGUUGCCCCCCAAAAUGCCAUGGGAAAUCAUUUUGGGCCUUUAAGUGGGGCAAUGAGAUGACUGAACUUACACUUUCAUAUGUAUGUUGGAAAUACUCAUCUUCCCUGAUUAAUCUGCCAGAGAUUGAUUGGAGCUGGGAUAGAUGUGUUAGAAAGAUAUUGCAAGAAUCCAGAGAACAGGCAGUGAGGGUCUUUGCAGGCACAGAGGCAGGGAGAAAGCAAUUGUAUUAUUGAAUCUAAGAUUUUAGAGCUAAACAGACACUAUGGGCCAUAUAGCACAAAAUAUCCUCAUUUUAUAGAACAAAGGGGCCCCUACCCAGACUUAAAUGACUAGUCCAAGGAGAAGCUGUGGGGCUAGUUCAGGGCUUCUAAUUUCCUGAUUCACUGAUUUGUCCUCAACUCAGCCAGUGCUGAUGUCUCACUAGAGUUUUCAACUCUUAACAAAAAUAACAAAGUGUAUCUAUUUUAUGUAAGUCAUAUACUUUCUACUCUUCAAUAGCUUCCAUGGACAUUAAUCCCACUUGAUUUUGCCAAUGACAACUCCCCUCGACCACCAAAGAAAGGUAGCACACUGGAGUUAGAAUUAUCCCCACACUCCAGAUAGGUAAACUGAGGCGUGGAAGAUGAUUCUAAUUUCUGCCUCAAAUUCUCUCAUCUUCACUUCUACAUUAAUUCUUUACAUUUUGCUUUUUAAAUAUUACCACAAUGUUGAUACAGGAACGGUAUUCACAAAAUUUUGUCCUGAACAAAAUUUCACAGGGGCAGAGAGGCUUAAAAAAAUGUAACUUCAUUUAGAAAGGUUAAUGGUUGGGGUUUACUUGAAAUUAUGUCCAAAGAAAGGAUGCUGUGAUCAAUGGGAAAUUGCAUGUUUGUAGUUGUUCUGUUUUAAUUAUGGUGAAUGAAAGUAUAUCUUGCUUAGAAAGUAUGCUGAGAUGCUAUCUCUUUCUGUCUUCCUUCCAGAGGAAAGAAAUCAAAUCAUGUUUAUAGAAUUUGUUUUCUUGUCUGUG